This 255-nucleotide ribosomal RNA is filed under the name uncultured bacterium. RNAcentral describes it as "partial 16S ribosomal RNA". It matches the Rfam family "Bacterial small subunit ribosomal RNA", at positions 524 to 777 of the family's 1533-position model. The record is from RNAcentral.
UACGUAGGGUGCAAGCGUUAAUCGGAAUUACUGGGCGUAAAGCGUGCGCAGGCGGUUGUGCAAGACAGAUGUGAAAUCCCCGGGCUUAACCUGGGAAUUGCAUUUGUGACUGCACGGCUAGAGUGUGUCAGAGGGGGGGUAGAAUUCCACGUGUAGCAGUGAAAUGCGUGGAUAUGUGGAGGAAUACCGAUGGCGAAGGCAGCCCCCUGGGAUAACACUGACGCUCAUGCACGAAAGCGUGGGGAGCAAACGAGG